This 305-nucleotide ribosomal RNA is filed under the name uncultured bacterium. RNAcentral's name for it is "bacterial SSU rRNA". It matches the Rfam family "Bacterial small subunit ribosomal RNA", at positions 337 to 642 of the family's 1533-position model. The record is from RNAcentral.
UCCUACGGGAGGCAGCAGUGGGGAAUAUUGCACAAUGGGGGAAACCCUGAUGCAGCGACGCCGCGUGAGUGAAGAAGCAUUUCGGUAUGUAAAGCUCUAUCAGCAGGGAAGAAAUACUGACCUUACGGUCAGCAGACGGUACCUGACUAAGAAGCCCCGGCUAACUACGUGCCAGCAGCCGCGGUAAUACGGAGGAUGCGAGCGUUAUCCGGAUUUAUUGGGUUUAAAGGGUGCGCAGGCGGAGGUGCAAGUCAGCGGUCAAAUUGCGGGGCUCAACCCCGUACUGCCGUUGAAACUGCAUCCCU